Molecule: ribosomal RNA, 253 nt
Filed under: uncultured bacterium
Lineage: Bacteria
Description: partial 16S ribosomal RNA
Rfam family: Bacterial small subunit ribosomal RNA
Source: RNAcentral
UACGUAGGAGGCAAGCGUUGCUCGGAAUCACUGGGCGUAAAGCGCACGUAGGCGGCUUUUUAAGUCAGAGGUGAAAUCCUGGGGCUCAACUCCAGAACUGCCUUUGAUACUGGAGAGCUUGAGUCCGGGAGAGGUGAGUGGAACUGCGAGUGUAGAGGUGAAAUUCGUAGAUAUUCGCAAGAACACCAGUGGCGAAGGCGGCUCACUGGCCCGGUACUGACGCUGAGGUGCGAAAGCGUGGGGAGCAAACAGG